UCAACCUGAGCUAUUGUUGCAAUUUGCUAUUUAGUACAAUUAUUUUAACGCUAUUUUCUCGUUUUGUUUGUUAUUGUUAUUGUGUUGCGGUAACGGCAGCUAUGAAAAGUUAAUUUCUUUUCAAAGUUAUUUACAGUAAACCUGUUCUCAGCAGAUUUCUACUUACUGCCUUAAAUGCAAUUGUAACCUGUUCACCUACUAAAGGGAAUUCACACAUUUCGAAAUACAUAAUCCCACACUUGCACUUAACUAAGUACCGCAGCUUGUAGCGACUUGUCUAGCUAACUCGUGCCGAAUUCCCUAGUAAGGCCUUAAUUCAAAUGAAGUGCGCUAAUCGGGAGUCAAUAAUUACACGCUGACAGGGAAUUCAUUUGAGAUCGACGACCAAAGCCGUCGACUGAAUUUCCAAGUGUGUAGUCGAAUGCUAAUUUAUAGCGGUUAUAAUUUUAAUUUGCAUACUUUAUAGUUAACUCGUUAAAUUUUCGUUGGGUGUAGAAAACAAGGGCUACAUUUAACUAAAUUUACAUAAAGUGAGAUGUCGCUGGUGUUCGCGGGCCGACACUGGGAAAAGAGCGAUUCGUCUAAGACCGGCACUAUAUAAGCGGCUAGUGAUGAUUUACCGAAGCAGUUCAAGUUCAGCGUUUGCUAAGCAGAGUUUUCAGUUGCGAAAAAUUAAAACAAAAUCCAGUUAAAAAUGGCCAAGUGCAGUCUAAUGUUCUUCGUUUUG
Non-coding RNA from Bactrocera oleae (olive fruit fly), 727 nucleotides. NCBI's taxonomy places the organism in Eukaryota, Metazoa, Arthropoda, Insecta, Diptera, Tephritidae. The record is from RefSeq and is a predicted model, not a curated record.